This 474-nucleotide ribosomal RNA is filed under the name uncultured organism. Its description in RNAcentral is "partial 16S ribosomal RNA". It matches the Rfam family "Bacterial small subunit ribosomal RNA", at positions 333 to 798 of the family's 1533-position model. The record is from RNAcentral.
ACACUCCUGCGGGAGGCAGCAGUGGGGAAUUUUGGACAAUGGGCGAAAGCCUGAUCCAGCAAUGCCGCGUGAGUGAAGAAGGCCUUCGGGUUGUAAAGCUCUUUUGUCAGGGAAGAAACGGUGAGAGCUAAUAUCUCUUGCUAAUGACGGUACCUGAAGAAUAAGCACCGGCUAACUACGUGCCAGCAGCCGCGGUAAUACGUAGGGUGCAAGCGUUAAUCGGAAUUACUGGGCGUAAAGCGUGCGCAGGCGGUUUUGUAAGUCUGAUGUGAAAUCCCCGGGCUCAACCUGGGAAUUGCAUUGGAGACUGCAAGGCUAGAAUCUGGCAGAGGGGGGUAGAAUUCCACGUGUAGCAGUGAAAUGCGUAGAUAUGUGUAGGAACACCGAUGGCGAAGGCAGCCCCCUGGGUCAAGAUUGACGCUCAUGCACGAAAGCGUGGGGAGCAAACAGGAUUAGAAACCCCUGUAGUCCCAU